This 374-nucleotide transfer-messenger RNA is filed under the name Patescibacteria group. RNAcentral describes it as "GCA-016700035 sp016700035 Standard tmRNA". It matches the Rfam family "transfer-messenger RNA". From Rfam's summary of the family: Bacterial tmRNA, also known as 10Sa RNA or SsrA, is named for its dual tRNA and mRNA-like properties. Its role is to liberate the mRNA from a stalled ribosome. The record is from RNAcentral. RNAcentral also lists the same sequence under 1 other name.
GGGGCCGAUCGGUUUCGACAGAGGGAAUAAGACUUACUAUUGCGACUCGAGUUGCUCAGACUCGUAAAACGGAGCACCCAAAAUAAUCGCCGCCUAACACGCCCGAUUAUUGUCACUCGUACCAUGUGCGCAGAAGGACGGAGCCAAUUCACCGCAGCUUGGCAACAGAAGCGGAGAAUGACGGUCGGAACAGACGACUGACGAUCGCGAAAGAGUGAUUGACAUCACGCAAUAGACGCGACGAGUUCGGCAGUAUUGCCGAUUGGCAACCCAGUUAGCCAAGCGUGAGCGUUACACGCAAAAUCUUGGGAAUAGUCGUAGCAGGGUAAGAAUUUACCUUCUGGACGGGGGUUCGAUUCCCCCCGGCUCCACGU